This is a long non-coding RNA of Myotis myotis, 1508 nucleotides long. RefSeq lists it as uncharacterized. NCBI's taxonomy places the organism in Eukaryota, Metazoa, Chordata, Mammalia, Chiroptera, Vespertilionidae. The transcript is spliced from 2 exons. The record is from RefSeq and is a predicted model, not a curated record.
CCAGGGUUGGCCAGCAGCGCCACCAGGAGACCAGGGACGUGGGAGUGCAGGGUGUUGCUAAGAUGUUACUAAAAUGAUGGACCAUGGGAUCUAAGCGGGCUCAGGGUGGAAGGAAAGAUGACUGAUGCACAGAGGAGAGUCAGGUCAAGGACCUCCACGAGGCCGGAACUUUCCCAGGGGAGCAGUUGAACACGAGGACAGGUGGUUAAAGUCGUGGGGGAGGAGGAGAGGGAAAGGGGUUGAUUAGUGACGUGGAAGCAGAGAAUUACGGGAUCCACUUGCCCUGCUUGGGGGCCCAGUUUACCCUGCAAAGCAGGAAAUGCAGCCCCACUGAGCCAGCCCAGCCUGUGAGCACGGCAAUGACAGAGCACAGCCACAAGAGGGCAGCAUCGGCACACAAACCUGCACCUGGAGGCCUCAGCAUCCAUCCUGCUCUUCCGGUUGCUUCAUCUCCUACAGAUCAGCAGGCUUCAGGUGAGCCUCGAACAUUCCCUGGGAAGCUGAGUGUGGCCCAAGCUGCCUGCCUCAUCUUGUCCCCAAGCUAGAGCUGCCGCUGCCAUCUGUCUAGGUCCUGGAGGAGAAGGCGAGCCCACACUGGCCCAGAGGCAGCCCAGCAGAUGCAUUAGCAACCUGUUUCCUUCUAGUCUUUCUGUCUUAACAACGGAGGCCAUCCCGAGUCCCUUCCAAGACCCAGUCCCAGCAACCGGCUAACCCCAAGGGGCUGGCACCUCUCCCACAUGGAGAAAGCCCCCCCCACCCACACACACCUCUGAGCAGUAAAGGGGGCCUCCUGAUACCUCUGGUUCCCUCAGCAGGUGUCUGAAACGGUCACUCCUUCACAUGCACACGUGUUCUCCCCAAGUGAAGACUGAAAUGACUGCAUACCACUCAGGACUUUGCACGGAGAGAAGCAGUCAUGUGACAGAGCAACAAAGCACCAAAGAGAUGAAAUCAUGAUUGGGGGGCUGGGCCAGGAACAGCCCUGCAUCCGCUGCCCUCACUGGACCCAAGGACUUUUGUCGCCCAUGCUGUCCCUUCCCUCCUCAGCCUCACCACAUGGAAAUGCAGGCGGACGUGGGAGUGUCCCAGUAUCCUGGCGAGAGUAACAACCUUCUUGCAGGAAAGGAAACGGUGGGGUCCCGGCCGCCCCCUGCCCUUUGCAGACCCCCGCCCACGUUGCCUGUAAUCUGUAACCAUUAUACCCAGUCCCAUUCCUUUUGCUCACCUCCCUAUGUAUUCUUUGCCCUCUCACCCCACAUAAGCAGCUGGCUUAUGGGGAGACAGAGUAGAUUUCUAGAUGACCUGCUGCUCUCCCAAGCUGCUGGCGUUAUUGGAAUCAAGGCCCAUGUGUGAUUCAGCCCUGUCUCUGCUUACUCGGCUCCAGUAGCGACAGGCAGCCCGGGCCAUUGGUUGUCCGGUCUCACAGUUGCUGUGAUCUUGACUCUUCUACCUUAAGCCCUUGCUUUGUUUCACUGCCCCCAGCUUUAAUAAACCUCCUCUCACAGUCA